This 185-nucleotide ribosomal RNA is filed under the name uncultured bacterium. RNAcentral's name for it is "partial 16S ribosomal RNA". It matches the Rfam family "Bacterial small subunit ribosomal RNA", at positions 342 to 525 of the family's 1533-position model. The record is from RNAcentral.
CGGGAGGCAGCAGUGAGGAAUAUUGGGCAAUGCUCGAAAGAGUGACCCAGCAACGCCGCGUGGAGGAUGAAGGUAUUCUAUAUCGUAAACUCCUGUGAGAGCAGACGAAAGACAGAUUAUUAAUCUGGAUGACUGUAUGCUCAGAGGAAGCCCCGGCUAACUACGUGCCAGCAGCCGCGGUAAUA